UUCCGGUUGAUCCCGCCGGACCUGACUGCUAUCGGAUUGAUACUAAGCCAUGUGAGUCUUUGUAGCAAUACAAGGCAUACGGCUCAGUAACACGUAGUCAACCUACCUUAUAGACGGGGAUAACCUCGGGAAACUGAGAAUAAUACCCGAUAGAUCAUUAUGCCUGGAAUGGCUUAUGGUUAAAAUGAAUUUCGCUAUAGGAUGGGACUGCGGUCUAUCAGCUUGUUGGUGAGGUAAUGGCCCACCAAGGCUAUAACAGAUACGGGCUCUGAGAGGAGAAGCCCGGAGAUGGGUACUGAGACACGGACCCAGGUCCUAUGGGGCGCAGCAGGCGAGAAAACUUUGCAAUGUGCGAAAGCACGACAAGGUUAAUCCGAGUGUUUCCUGCUUAAGGAAUCUUUUGUUAGUCCUAAAAACACUAACGAAUAAGGGGUGGGCAAGUUCUGGUGUCAGCCGCCGCGGUAAAACCAGCACCUCAAGUGGUCAGGAUGAUUAUUGGGCCUAAAGCAUCCGUAGCCGGCUCUGUAAGUUUUCGGUUAAAUCUGUACGCUUAACGUACAGGCUGCCGGGAAUACUGCAGAGCUAGGGAGUGGGAGAGGUAGACGGUACUCGGGAGGAAGUGGUAAAAUGCUUUGAUCUCUCGAUGACCACCUGUGGCGAAGGCGGUCUACCAGAACACGUCCGACGGUGAGGGAUGAAAGCUGGGGGAGCAAACCGGAUUAGAUACCCGGGUAGUCCCAGCUGUAAACUAUGCAAACUCAGUGAUGCAUUGGCUUGUGGCCAAUGCAGUGUUGCAGGGAAGCCGUUAAGUUUGCCGCCUGGGAAGUACGUACGCAAGUAUGAAACUUAAAGGAAUUGGCGGGGGAGCACCACAAGGGGUGAAGCCUGCGGUUCAAUUGGAGUCAACGCCGGAA
Molecule: ribosomal RNA, 914 nt
Filed under: uncultured marine group I thaumarchaeote
Lineage: Archaea; Thermoproteati; Nitrososphaerota
Description: bacterial SSU rRNA
Rfam family: Archaeal small subunit ribosomal RNA
Source: RNAcentral